Non-coding RNA from Blyttiomyces helicus, 71 nucleotides. Lineage: Eukaryota; Fungi; Chytridiomycota; Chytridiomycetes. The record is from the annotation of a GenBank genome assembly.
AAGCACUUGGUGUAAUGGAAGCAUCUCAGGCUCAUGACCUGGGGGAGGCGGUUCGAUUCCGUCAGUGCGUG